Molecule: long non-coding RNA, 2246 nt
Organism: Homo sapiens (human)
Lineage: Eukaryota; Metazoa; Chordata; Mammalia; Primates; Hominidae
Exons: 2
Source: RefSeq, a predicted model, not a curated record
AUUCGCUGCGCCGCUUACUCGUCAAGGCACGCCGCGCGCUGACUGGCCGCGGCCACCAGUCUCCAGGCCCCAGACGCCCCUCUCCGCCCCCCCGCCCCCGCCCCCCAGCAAAUAAUAAACAAUCGAGUAAAAUUCUAAGGAAGGAGAGAGAGGAGAGGGAAAAAGGGAGAGGGCGCACUAGAAACCAAUCCUUCGCGCGCUGGCGGUGGGAGGGUUCAAGGGGGGACGCGAGAGGACAGCGGACGGGAGGAAGGCAGCCGACUUGGGGCGGUGGGUCUGCCAGCGAAGAGGAGGCGUCGGGGGAGGAAAGUUGCAGCGCACUCGACUGGGCGCGCCUGGCGGGGUGUGUAGAGUCUGGGACACAGAAGAUAAAUCCUCAGUCUUGUCCAAGAUCAGGAGAAUAAGAAGACUCUACCCCCCUAAAACCAGAAGUCCAAAGGGCCAAAGUAAAGGCGAAUGUGAAAUUAACUGGCUUUGCAGAAGAGGAUCCCAGGAAAAAUCGUCUGUCUUGAUCAAAGCCCUGAAUAAAAGAGUAUAAAAAAUAUUCUUCCUUGAAAAUUCACAACUAUGGUGUGGUCCGUAUGUAAUAUUAUGACCAAAAUUCAUGAUACCAUGGAAUUAUUUUAAAAACUUCAUGAGCCCCAGUUUGUGGUGCUUUUAACAACUGGCAGAAGGAAAGACACAUCCUCUUGGAGGGCUAUCUUGAGCCUAGGCCCCAAAGAACUUCCAUAAUCAUAAUCAGAAAACACAAAACAUAUAAUAAGCAAGGCUCCAUGUAGGAGCAGACAGAAACAAAAUGUAAGGUCAGAUACACAAAGGCUGGGGUAUGAGAAUAAGCUGACACAGAAAAUAAGUGUACUUAAUAGGUUUAAACAAAAAGGAAGUUUGAAAAUAGAAGAAAGGAACAAGAGUCUAUAAAAAACAACUGAGUAGAUUUGAAAUCAAAAUACUUCUUUGUUUUUCUUCCCAGCUAGAUAUUAUGUCCUUGAAGACACAGGGAUCAGGCUAAACACUAUAUGUUAUCGUUUGUCAAUUGAAGGAAGUUAGAAACAAAGUACUCAAUUUUUUUUGAAACCCAGCAGUAAGAAUGAGAGUUGUGACUACAUUUUUAAAAUGUAAAUGUAAAAACUCCUGUUGUAAAUGUUAAUCAAUCUCUUCUAGAGGAAAGGAAGACAAAAUCAAAAUUAAUGCAAUGCUUCCGGCUGACUGGCCUCCAGCAAAUGGCAUUGAGCUUUGUAAGUGGUCCAUCUACUCCAUUUCUCAUCUUGCAAAAAUUUGUGAAGUGAGCAUGUGUCCAUGUCCAUGUGUUAGAAAAUCUAUUUAAAAUGCUGGCUGGGCGCAGUGGCUCACCCCUAUAAUCCCAGCAUUUUGGGAGGCAGGGGCGGGAGGUUCACUUGAGGCCAGGAGUUCGAGACCAGCCUGGCCAACAUGGUGAAGCCUCAUCUCUACUAAAAAUACAAAAAUUAGCUGGGCGUGGUAGUGCGCACCUGUAAUCCCAGCUACUCGGGAGGCUGAGGCAGGAGAAUCACUUGAAACCGGGAGGCAGAGGAUGCAGUGAGCUGAGGUCAUGCCACUGCACUCCAGCCUGGGCGACAGAGCAAGACUCUCAAAAAUAAAUACAUAAAUAAACAAAAUGCUUAGUAAUUGGAACUUUAAAUACAAAUUACUUUAAAACAUUGAUGUGGGACAGGCACAGUGGCUAACGCCUGUCAUCCCAGCACUUUCGGAGGCCCAGGCGAGCGGAUCAUGAGGUCAGGAGUUCGAGACCAGCCUGGCCAACACAGUGAAACCCCGUCUCUACUUAAAAUAGAAAAAUUAGCCAGGUGUGGUGGCACGCGCCUAUAUUCCCAGCUACCCGGGAGGCUGAGGCAGGAGAAUCGCUUGAACCCGGGAGUCAGAGGAUGCAGUGAGCCAAGAUUGUGCCACUGCACUCCAGCCUAGGCAACAGAGCGAGACUCCAACCCUACCCAAAAAAAAAAAAUUGAAGUGGUACUUCAAAGAAAUCAAGGCCAUGUGGAAUCAUUCAUUACUCUGCACAAUACAUCGCAUCUCCCUGGUUUGGUUUGGCAUGUCCACUUAUGUGUAAAGUUUCCUGGAAUAACCUGGUACUAAAGCCCCCCAAAGGAUGUGAUUUGGAGCUCCAGGGACAUUAAAUCUGAUUAUUGUUCCUCCCACAUCCAUAUCUAGAAAUGGAGUAAACCUGUGAAACUGGAAGACAGCAGAGGAAAAAUAAAAUGUUUGGCAAA